This 219-nucleotide ribosomal RNA is filed under the name uncultured bacterium. RNAcentral's name for it is "partial 16S ribosomal RNA". It matches the Rfam family "Bacterial small subunit ribosomal RNA", at positions 131 to 334 of the family's 1533-position model. The record is from RNAcentral.
CGAGCGGGGGGAGUAACAUUCCGAAAGGAGUGCUAAUACCGCAUAAGACCACGUCCUCGAAAGAGGAUGAGGUAAAAGCAGGCCUCUAUAUAUAAGCUUGCACUCUAGGACGGGCCCGCGGCCCAUCAGCUAGUUGGCAGGGUAAUGGCCUACCAAGGCGAAGACGGGUAGCUGGUCUGAGAGGAUGAUCAGCCACACUGGAACUGAGACACGGUCCAG